Molecule: ribosomal RNA, 422 nt
Filed under: uncultured bacterium
Lineage: Bacteria
Description: bacterial SSU rRNA
Rfam family: Bacterial small subunit ribosomal RNA
Source: RNAcentral
UGAGGAAUAUUGGUCAAUGGGUGCAAGCCUGAACCAGCCAUCCCGCGUGAAGGACGACUGCCCUAUGGGUUGUAAACUUCUUUUGUAUAGGGAUAAACCUACCCUCGUGAGGGUAGCUGAAGGUACUAUACGAAUAAGCACCGGCUAACUCCGUGCCAGCAGCCGCGGUAAUACGGAGGAUCCGAGCGUUAUCCGGAUUUAUUGGGUUUAAAGGGUGCGUAGGUGGUUUGAUAAGUCAGCGGUGAAAGUUUGCAGCUUAACUGUAAAAAUGCCGUUGAAACUGUCGGACUUGAGUGUAAAUGAGGUAGGCGGAAUGCGUGGUGUAGCGGUGAAAUGCAUAGAUAUCACGCAGAACUCCGAUUGCGAAGGCAGCUUACUAAGCUACAACUGACACUGAAGCACGAAAGCGUGGGGAUCAAACA